Homo sapiens (human) is the source of this 595-nucleotide long non-coding RNA. Ensembl annotates it as TTN antisense RNA 1. Its record names the gene TTN-AS1. Lineage: Eukaryota; Metazoa; Chordata; Mammalia; Primates; Hominidae. The record is from Ensembl.
CUCUGUGACUGGCUUGCUUGAUGGUUAGGGUCUGAUCGCUGCCUGAGACACCAUAUCGGUACUCCUCAGAGUUGGUGAUCACAGGAUCUGGUUUGCCACUGAAAGGAAUCUUGAUGCUGACCACUUCACCUCGGAGAGCAUGAACUGCUCCCAUGCCUUCAAGAGUUUUAGUGGGUAACCAGGAUGGAACUGCGGUGUUGCUUGCAGGAGAAGCUUACUACUGGUUUCUACUUCUCCAACCUCAUUGGUGGCUAUGCAGGUUCAUUGAAGUGGCAUACAAUUGUUGACCUUUCAAAUCUUGUUGGGAAAUAUUUUUAAAAAGAAACCAUUGCAUUAGAGGGAAUUACUCAAGGAAAGUGCUCAGUUCACUCCAUCUAACAUCUGCUGAGGCACUGUCUCCAGACUGUCUAUAUUCAACCCAGUAUCCAAGAAUUUCUUUACCACCAUCACAUUCAGGUUUCUCCCACUGUAGAGUGACACUAUCUUUGGAUAUUGAAAGAAUCUCAAGUUCUCCUGGUUGGCUUGGUUUAUCUGAAAUAUUUUAAAAUAAUGAAAAGGGAGUCAGCUUUACUGGUGAAAUAAAAGGACCAAACAU